Molecule: ribosomal RNA, 497 nt
Filed under: uncultured bacterium
Lineage: Bacteria
Description: partial 16S ribosomal RNA
Rfam family: Bacterial small subunit ribosomal RNA
Source: RNAcentral
GAUGAACGCUGGCGGCGUGCCUAAUACAUGCAAGUCGAGCGAACGGACGAGAAGCUUGCUUCUCUGAUGUUAGCGGCGGACGGGUGAGUAACACGUGGAUAACCUACCUAUAAGAAUGGGAUAACUUCGGGAAACCGGAGCUAAUACCGGAUAAUAUUUUGAACCGCAAGGUUCAAAAGUGAAAGAAGGUCUUGCUGUCACUUAUAGAUGGAUCCGCGCUGCAUUGGCUGGUUGGUAAGGUAACGGCUUACCAAGCGAACAGUGCCUAGCCGACCGAAAAGGGGCAUCGGCCACACUGGACCGGGCCCACGGUCCAGACUCCUACGGGGGUCACCAGCAGGGAAUCUUCCACAAUGCGCGCAGGCCUGACGGAGCAACGCCGCGUGAGUGAUCAAGGUCUUCGGAUCGUAAAACUCUGUUAUUAGGGAAGAACAUAUGUGUACGUGACUGCGCACAUCUUGACGGUACCUAAUCAGAAAGCCACGGCUAACUACGUG